GAUGAACGCUGGCGGCGUGCCUAAUACAUGCAAGUCGAGCGAACAGACGAGGAGCUUGCUCCUCUGACGUUAGCGGCGGACGGGUGAGUAACAUGUGGAUAACCUACCUAUAAGACUGGGAUAACUUCGGGAAACCGGAGCUAAUACCGGAUAAUACAUUGAACCGCAUGGUUUAAUAGUGAAAGACGGUUUUGCUGUUACUUAUAGAUGGAUCCGUGCCGUAUUUGCUAGUUGGGGAGGUAACGGCCUACCAAGGCGACGAUACGUAGCCGUCCUGAGAGAGGGAGCGGCCACACUGGGAAUGAGACACGGCCCAGACCCCUACGGGAGGCAGCAGUAGGGAAUCUUCGGCAAUGGACGGAAGCCUGAACGAGCAACGCCGGGUGAGUGAAGAAGGUUUUCGGAUCGGAAAGAUCUGUUGUAAGAGAAGAAAGAGUGUGAGAGUGGAAAGUUCACACUGUGACGGUACCUUACCAGAAAGCCACGGCUAACUACGUG
This 498-nucleotide ribosomal RNA is filed under the name uncultured bacterium. Its description in RNAcentral is "partial 16S ribosomal RNA". It matches the Rfam family "Bacterial small subunit ribosomal RNA", at positions 28 to 507 of the family's 1533-position model. The record is from RNAcentral.